UGGAGAAAAUCCCAGAAAGCAAAGAAGUAAUCAAAAAAAAUAAUCAGCAACAAUGGAGCAUGAAGUGGAAAUCGCUAGUAAUCGCGGAUCAGCAAAAGUUCCCAAUACGUUCCCACACCCCCCCACACUCCCAAAGUCACCAACAGCCGCAAUUGCUUCAGAAGGCCUACUCACCAGUGUGCCACUCCCCUUGCGGGGCGUUCGACUUGCAUGUGUUAAGCCUGCCGCCAGCGUUCGUUCUGAGCCAGGAUCAAACUCUAAUCUAGAGCAUCGGAGUCCC
RNAcentral lists this ribosomal RNA (280 nucleotides) under uncultured bacterium. RNAcentral describes it as "partial 16S ribosomal RNA". The record is from RNAcentral.